This is a long non-coding RNA of Oppia nitens, 566 nucleotides long. RefSeq lists it as uncharacterized. The record is from RefSeq and is a predicted model, not a curated record. Lineage: Eukaryota; Metazoa; Arthropoda; Arachnida; Sarcoptiformes; Oppiidae. The transcript has 2 exons.
AUAAAAUAGAAAUGAUUUGAAUUCAACCGAAACUUUGCUUUUUAUAUAACAAUAGAGUCUAUCUCUCGAAAUCAAUGUUGUUUGGUUUAGUUUAGGUGGUGGUGGGGUGGGGUGUGAGGUUAGGAAGUGGUGUGUUUGUGGGUUUUGUUUGUGAGGGAUAAGGCAAGGGAUGGAUGGAAUAGUAGAUAAACUAAAAAUAUGAUAGAUAUUAGUAUAUAACUUAAAAUCAAAUAAAUUAAGUUAAUUCACGCAAACAUAAUAUAAUCAAUGUAUUUAAUACACUGUUGCAAACAAUAUCAAAACGAAACCCAUAUUUAGGAGUUCAGUCCAGCAUUUAAAACUUCAAUAACCAACACAUUAUAUAUACCGAACCUAUUCCCCGAUCCAGAAGAGGACGAAAGGGUGAUCACCGUUGCAGACGAAGAAGAAACCGAUAGAAUUGUGACGAUUAGUGAAGAGAAAAGAAAGAAAAAGAAGAGAAAGUGUGUCUCAUAAGAGUCAAUGAAUUAAUUUUUUUCAAAAUUCUUGUUUUUUAUUUUACAAAUAAAACACUUUUUAAAAUUCAA